UACGUAGGUGGCGAGCGUUGUCCGGAUUUACUGGGCGUAAAGGGCUCGUAGGCGGCCAACUAAGUCGGAUGUGAAAUCCCUCGGCUUAACCGGGGAACUGCGUCUGAUACUGGAUGGCUUGAGUUUGGGAGAGGGAUGCGGAAUUCCAGGUGUAGCGGUGAAAUGCGUAGAUAUCUGGAGGAACACCGGUGGCGAAGGCGGCAUCCUGGACCAACACUGACACUGAUGAGCGAAAGCCAGGGGAGCAAACGGG
Molecule: ribosomal RNA, 253 nt
Filed under: uncultured bacterium
Lineage: Bacteria
Description: partial 16S ribosomal RNA
Rfam family: Bacterial small subunit ribosomal RNA
Source: RNAcentral